This is a long non-coding RNA of Photinus pyralis (common eastern firefly), 372 nucleotides long. RefSeq lists it as uncharacterized. The transcript has 3 exons. The record is from RefSeq and is a predicted model, not a curated record. Lineage: Eukaryota; Metazoa; Arthropoda; Insecta; Coleoptera; Lampyridae.
CUACCCAAAACAAGUUUUAUAGAGUAGCACGUUUCCCUCGGGUAAUAGGAUGCCUAGACGGAACACACGUUAAAAUUCGAUCUCCAGGAGGGGAGGAUAGUGAAGUCUACAGAAACCGCAAGUCAUAUUUUUCAAUAAAUGUGCAACUUGUGUCAUGUGUGAUAGUGACUUAAAAAUUAGUAACAUUGUGGCCAGAUGGCCCGGUUCGGCACAUGAUGCUACUAUUUUUAACAAUAGUCGCUUAAAGACACUAUUUGAAGCUGGACACUUUAGAUCUGCUAUUAUGCUUGGCGAUAGUGGAUAUGGCUUAAAGCAAUAUUUACUAACACCACUUUUAAAUCCAAUAACUCGACCACAACAAUUAUAUAACGA